RNAcentral lists this ribosomal RNA (245 nucleotides) under uncultured bacterium. RNAcentral's name for it is "partial 16S ribosomal RNA". It matches the Rfam family "Bacterial small subunit ribosomal RNA", at positions 15 to 254 of the family's 1533-position model. The record is from RNAcentral.
GAUCCUGGCUCAGGACGAACGCUGGCGGCGCGCCUAACACAUGCAAGUCGAACGAGCGAGAGAGAGCUUGCUUUCUCGAGCGAGUGGCGAACGGGUGAGUAACGCGUGAGGAACCUGCCUCAAAGAGGGGGACAACAGUUGGAAACGACUGCUAAUACCGCAUAAGCCCACGACCCGGCAUCGGGUAGAGGGAAAACGGAGUAAUCCGCUUUGAGAUGGCCUCGCGUCCGAUUAGCUAGUUGGUG